RNAcentral lists this ribosomal RNA (492 nucleotides) under uncultured bacterium. RNAcentral's name for it is "partial 16S ribosomal RNA". It matches the Rfam family "Bacterial small subunit ribosomal RNA", at positions 29 to 507 of the family's 1533-position model. The record is from RNAcentral.
AGUGAACGCUGGCGGUAGGCCUAACACAUGCAAGUCGAACGGCAGCACAGUAAGAGCUUGCUCUUACGGGUGGCGAGUGGCGGACGGGUGAGGAAUACAUCGGAAUCUACUUUUUCGUGGGGGAUAACGUAGGGAAACUUACGCUAAUACCGCAUACGACCUACGGGUGAAAGCAGGGGAUCUUCGGACCUUGCGCGAUUGAAUGAGCCGAUGUCGGAUUAGCUAGUUGGCGGGGUAAAGGCCCACCAAGGUGACGAUCCGUAGCUGGUCUGAGAGGAUGAUCAGCCACACUGGAACUGAGACACGGUCCAGACUCCUACGGGAGGCAGCAGUGGGGAAUAUUGGACAAUGGGCGCAAGCCUGAUCCAGCCAUACCGCGUGGGUGAAGAAGGCCCUCGGGUUGUAAAGCCCUUUUGUUGGGAAAGAAAAGCAGCAGGUUAAUACCCCGCUGUUCUGACGGUACCCAAAGAAUAAGCACCGGCUAACUUCGUG